Kwoniella newhampshirensis is the source of this 95-nucleotide non-coding RNA. NCBI's taxonomy places the organism in Eukaryota, Fungi, Basidiomycota, Tremellomycetes, Tremellales, Cryptococcaceae. The record is from the annotation of a GenBank genome assembly.
GUUUUGGUAGCUCAGCCCGGUUUAGAGCAUCAGAUUGCAAUUGGAUUACACUGGUUACUAUCUGAGGGUCUCGGGUUCGAAUCCCGAUCGAAACU